GGGCGCACGGUGGAUGCCUUGGCACUAGAAGCCGAUGAAGGACGUUACUAACGACGAUAUGCUUUGGGGAGCUGUAAGUAAGCUUUGAUCCAGAGAUUUCCGAAUGGGGAAACCCAGCAUGAGUUAUGUCAUGUUAUCGAUAUGUGAAUACAUAGCAUAUCAGAAGGCACACCCGGAGAACUGAAACAUCUUAGUACCCGGAGGAAGAGAAAGAAAAUUCGAUUCCCUUAGUAGCGGCGAGCGAAACGGGAAGAGCCCAAACCAACAAGCUUGCUUGUUGGGGUUGUAGGACACUCUAUACGGAGUUACAAAGGACGACAUUAGACGAAUCAUCUGGAAAGAUGAAUCAAAGAAGGUAAUAAUCCUGUAGUCGAAAAUGUUGUCUCUCUUGAGUGGAUCCUGAGUACGACGGAGCACGUGAAAUUCCGUCGGAAUCUGGGAGGACCAUCUCCUAAGGCUAAAUACUCUCUAGUGACCGAUAGUGAACCAGUACCGUGAGGGAAAGGUGAAAAGCACCCCGGAAGGGGAGUGAAAUAGAACCUGAAACCGUGUGCUUACAAGUAGUCAGAGCCCGUUAAUGGGUGAUGGCGUGCCUUUUGUAGAAUGAACCGGCGAGUUACGAUUUGAUGCAAGGUUAAGCAGUAAAUGUGGAGCCGUAGCGAAAGCGAGUCUGAAUAGGGCGUUUAGUAUUUGGUCGUAGACCCGAAACCAGGUGAUCUACCCUUGGUCAGGUUGAAGUUCAGGUAACACUGAAUGGAGGACCGAACCGACUUACGUUGAAAAGUGAGCGGAUGAACUGAGGGUAGCGGAGAAAUUCCAAUCGAACCUGGAGAUAGCUGGUUCUCUCCGAAAUAGCUUUAGGGCUAGCCUCAAGUGAUGAUUAUUGGAGGUAGAGCACUGUUUGGACGAGGGGCCCCUCUCGGGUUACCGAAUUCAGACAAACUCCGAAUGCCAAUUAAUUUAACUUGGGAGUCAGAACAUGGGUGAUAAGGUCCGUGUUCGAAAGGGAAACAGCCCAGACCACCAGCUAAGGUCCCAAAAUAUAUGUUAAGUGGAAAAGGAUGUGGCGUUGCCCAGACAACUAGGAUGUUGGCUUAGAAGCAGCCAUCAUUUAAAGAGUGCGUAAUAGCUCACUAGUCGAGUGACACUGCGCCGAAAAUGUACCGGGGCUAAACAUAUUACCGAAGCUGUGGAUUGUCCUUUGGACAAUGGUAGGAGAGCGUUCUAAGGGCGUUGAAGCAUGAUCGUAAGGACAUGUGGAGCGCUUAGAAGUGAGAAUGCCGGUGUGAGUAGCGAAAGACGGGUGAGAAUCCCGUCCACCGAUUGACUAAGGUUUCCAGAGGAAGGCUCGUCCGCUCUGGGUUAGUCGGGUCCUAAGCUGAGGCCGACAGGCGUAGGCGAUGGAUAACAGGUUGAUAUUCCUGUACCACCUAUAAUCGUUUUAAUCGAUGGGGGGACGCAGUAGGAUAGGCGAAGCGUGCGAUUGGAUUGCACGUCUAAGCAGUAAGGCUGAGUAUUAGGCAAAUCCGGUACUCAUUAAGGCUGAGCUGUGAUGGGGAGAAGACAUUGUGUCUUCGAGUCGUUGAUUUCACACUGCCGAGAAAAGCCUCUAGAUAGAAAAUAGGUGCCCGUACCGCAAACCGACACAGGUAGUCAAGAUGAGAAUUCUAAGGUGAGCGAGCGAACUCUCGUUAAGGAACUCGGCAAAAUGACCCCGUAACUUCGGGAGAAGGGGUGCUCUUUAGGGUUAACGCCCAGAAGAGCCGCAGUGAAUAGGCCCAAGCGACUGUUUAUCAAAAACACAGGUCUCUGCUAAACCGUAAGGUGAUGUAUAGGGGCUGACGCCUGCCCGGUGCUGGAAGGUUAAGAGGAGUGGUUAGCUUCUGCGAAGCUACGAAUCGAAGCCCCAGUAAACGGCGGCCGUAACUAUAACGGUCCUAAGGUAGCGAAAUUCCUUGUCGGGUAAGUUCCGACCCGCACGAAAGGCGUAACGAUUUGGGCACUGUCUCAACGAGAGACUCGGUGAAAUCA
RNAcentral lists this ribosomal RNA (2031 nucleotides) under Staphylococcus aureus. RNAcentral describes it as "23S ribosomal RNA". It matches the Rfam family "Bacterial large subunit ribosomal RNA", at positions 15 to 2044 of the family's 2925-position model. The record is from RNAcentral. Lineage: Bacteria; Bacillati; Bacillota; Bacilli; Caryophanales; Staphylococcaceae.